Molecule: ribosomal RNA, 687 nt
Filed under: Thecaphora italica
Lineage: Eukaryota; Fungi; Basidiomycota; Ustilaginomycetes; Urocystidales; Glomosporiaceae
Description: eukaryotic LSU rRNA
Rfam family: 5.8S ribosomal RNA (bases 218-372)
Source: RNAcentral
UUGGUCAUUUAGAGGAAGUAAAAGUCGUAACAAGGUUUCUGUAGGUGAACCUGCAGAAGGAUCAUUGUUGAAAAACGUAGCGGCUUCGAGAGCGUACACACGCCUCGAGGUCGUGAUCCACAAACCUCACACACCUGUGCACACGGAAAACAUUUCAAACGCAUAGAAAUUAGAGAAUGUCCACAAAAUCCUUCUUAGGAAGGUGAAAGUUAAACACAACUUUCGGCAACGGAUCUCUAGGUUCUCCUAUCGAUGAAGAACGCAGCGAAUUGCGAUAAGUAAUUGUGAAUUGCAGAAGUCAGUGAAUCAUCGAAUCUUUGAACGCAUCUUGCGCCCUUUGGUAUUCCUUUGGGCAUGCCUGUUUGAGUGUCACGAGCAACCUUUGAACCUCGGAUUUUUUUCUUUUUCAUUAAAGUCAGUCCGCUUGGGUUCAGUCUUGAGCGCCUUACCUGGUUUCGCCCAGGCUCGCUCUAAAUACAUUAGCUGGGAUUCUGUUCCUGUGGGUCGGACCUUUGCGGGUCGGGCCUCUAGCGUGAUAAUUUAUCUGCUGGAGCCAACACGGGUCGGAAAAUCGCUUCUAACCAAGGGAGCCGGUCCCCUCGGGGAUCGCGUCUCUGCAAUAUUUGACAUCUGGCCUCAGACAGGUAGGACUACCCGCUGAACUUAAGCAUAUCAAUAAGCGGAGGA